GGACUACCCGGGUAUCUAAUCCUGUUCGCUCCCCACGCUUUCGCUCCUCAGCGUCAGUUACAGCCCAGAGACCUGCCUUCGCCAUCGGUGUUCCUCCUGAUAUCUGCGCAUUUCACCGCUACACCAGGAAUUCCAGUCUCCCCUACUGCACUCCAGCCUGCCCGUACCCACUGCAGACCCGGGGUUGAGCCCCGGGCUUUCACAGCAGACGCGACAAACCGCCUACGAGCUCUUUACGCCCAAUAAUUCCGGAUAACGCUCGCGCCCUACGUAUUACCGCGGCUGCUGGCAC
RNAcentral lists this ribosomal RNA (292 nucleotides) under uncultured bacterium. Its description in RNAcentral is "partial 16S ribosomal RNA". The record is from RNAcentral.